Molecule: long non-coding RNA, 345 nt
Organism: Stegodyphus dumicola
Lineage: Eukaryota; Metazoa; Arthropoda; Arachnida; Araneae; Eresidae
Source: RefSeq, a predicted model, not a curated record
GCUGUGAGGCGUGCGCAGUGUAAACGUACGAUGGCGGUCAAUCUGUGCAUGAAUUGUGUGAACCAAGUUAGAUAGGAUACAUAAGACAAUAAUUACGGAUUAUAUUUUUUUACAGCCAUGCCAAGGAAACUGUUAGUGGGCGGCUUGCAGCGGAAUGGUUCGGUGAAGGGGAUCAAAAAGGUCUCUCCACCAACCGUACCGACCUUGAAUGUGAAGGCAGCUCAGUUCAAGAAGAGCCCCUGCAUAUGUAACGGAGACGAGCAACUUACCCUCGACUUCGGAGAUUCAGAUAGCGACUACAGCAGUUCUUACAGCAAACCGCCCAGAUCGCCUUCAAACGGUAAG